Molecule: ribosomal RNA, 236 nt
Filed under: uncultured bacterium
Lineage: Bacteria
Description: partial 16S ribosomal RNA
Rfam family: Bacterial small subunit ribosomal RNA
Source: RNAcentral
ACUAGUGAUUGGUUUAAUUCGAUGCAACGCGAAGAACCUUACCAGGUCUUGACAUCCGACUAACGGAGCAGAAAUGCACUGGUGCCCGCAAGGGAAAGUCGAGACAGGUGGUGCAUGGUUGUCGUCAGCUCGUGUCGUGAGAUGUUGGGUUAAGUCCCGCAACGAGCGCAACCCUUGUCAUUAGUUGCUACGGGAAGAGCACUCUAAUGAGACUGCCGUUGACAAAACGGAGGAAG